This 1478-nucleotide long non-coding RNA is filed under the name Gallus gallus (chicken). Its description in RNAcentral is "lncRNA (ENSGALG00010018578.1)". Lineage: Eukaryota; Metazoa; Chordata; Aves; Galliformes; Phasianidae. The record is from RNAcentral.
CUUCCUCUCCUUUUUGGCUUGUAACACGGCUCUGGACGUCAGCACUGUUGAAGUAGGGACGCUAAAAGCCUCAAAAGCACUCGAGAACGAAAACAAACGUAAUAAAAGUUAAAGCAUACAGCGGAUUCCUGCCGGGAUGCUCGCUCCGACCGGAGCCCCGUUUCUGGGAGCUGUUUCUCCACUGCUCCGAAAUCCUUCGUCUCACUCCGGAGGAGCUUCGCCACGCUGUUUUCUUUGCAUAUCUGUGAAACACUUGGGGUGAAAAGUCCCCAAAGCGAUGAUGUGACCGCGAGGAGCGGAGGAGGACGGGCGCGGCGGUGCCCCCGCGGGACGCAGAGCCUCGGGGACUUCGGCCUUUUGGAGGUGACUUUGGACGGCGUUCCUUCCUCUGGGCUCAGCAUUUGGGUUCGGUGCCGCUCGGAGUCCGGAUCUCCUGGAGGACAGAGGGCAGCGCGUCCCCCCCGUCGGACUCAGCUCCCGCCGGGUUAAAACCGGACUCACCGCGCUCCUAUCAAUCAGAGCAGAUUGUAACCCAGCGCGCAACGUAACGCCCUCCGCUCUCCACAUGCCUUUUCUUUGGAGUAACAUAUGAGAUUAUUAUACUUCUGAUUCUAAUAAUAUUUUUUUUUCUUGAAGUUAAGGGACUGGCAGGGCUCCACGAUCAAUCGGAUUUUUAAACCGUGUUUUGACAUUAGUUCGUGGGUAUUUUUUUUUUGUUUUUGUUUUUUUUUUUAAGACGUGCUGAUUAUAUCAAUAAACAGAUUUUUUUUUCAUACACUGUAUUUGUAACUUAUGAUCAUAGUUAAAUAUUAAAAGGCGCAAGACGUGAGUUCGUCUAAGAACGAAGUGCUUACUUAUGCCUUAUUCUGUACGUGCAGGGAGUGCUUUAGAGUGGAUUCAGUGUGUACUGAAAGUGGGAGCUUAGGCACCUCAGGAUUCUUUACCUCGCAGAUUUUUAAUGACUCUUUUCACUGCACCGAUGGCACGAAUAUUCUGCAGGAUGUAGACAGACAGCUCCCAUUAGUCAUAAAUCGGCCGUACUCAACAGGCCAAAAGCAAAUAAAUAAAUAAAUAAAAAUAAAAAGCUCACCCCCAAAAUGACAGCAACGGAUUCUCCGCAGUUUUCUUCCUUCCGUAUAUCUUUAUUAAGCAGAUUUAAGAGCAAUCUCAGCCCACUGAACAGCCAGGUACUGCGUUACUCAGAAAUUCCCUCUAGGAUUUCUCUGCACGCCUCUUGUAUCGUGUGUAGACGUAGCAUGGAGGCGAUUUAGCCGACUUCGAAUUGACCUUAAGGGCUGGCAAAAGCUUUCCAAGAGGGAUGUCCUGUCCUGGGGUCACAGAAGGCCCAACCCUGGCUGCGUCCAGCACCUGGAGGUGAAGGCACUUCUCUCUGGGAUCCACUCCCCUGAGCUGUGUCCCGGAAGAGGAGAGGGAACGACUUAAAGGCUUCUGCAGAGGGGCUGCGGGCUCCGGAGAGG